GACGAACGCUGGCGGCGUGCUUAACACAUGCAAGUCGAACGGAAAGGCCCUGCUUUUGUGGGGUGCUCGAGUGGCGAACGGGUGAGUAACACGUGAGUAACCUGCCCUUGACUUUGGGAUAACGUCAGGAAGCUGGGGCUAAUACCGGAUAGGAGCUCCUGCUGCAUGGUGGGGGUUGGAAAGUUUCGGCGGUUGGGGAUGGACUCGCGGCUUAUCAGCUUGUUGGUGGGGUAGUGGCAUACCAAGGCUUUGACGGGUAGCCGGCCUGAGAGGGUGACCGGCCACAUUGGGACUGAGAUACGGCCCAGACUCCUACGGGAGGCAGCGGUGGGGAGUAUUGCACAAUGGGCGGAAGCCUGAUGCAGCAGCGCCGCGUGCGGGAUGACGGCCUUCGGGUUGUAAACCGCUUUCGCCUGUGACGAAGCGUGAGUGACGGUAAUGGGUAAAGAAGCACCGGCUAACUACGUG
This 468-nucleotide ribosomal RNA is filed under the name uncultured bacterium. RNAcentral describes it as "partial 16S ribosomal RNA". It matches the Rfam family "Bacterial small subunit ribosomal RNA", at positions 28 to 507 of the family's 1533-position model. The record is from RNAcentral.